This 792-nucleotide non-coding RNA is filed under the name Metatropis longirostris. The record is from RNAcentral. Lineage: Eukaryota; Metazoa; Arthropoda; Insecta; Hemiptera; Berytidae.
UUUCGUAUAAUUGACACAAAUAGUUGAUUCUGCUAUUUAGAUUGGUUUUUAGUUAAUAAUUACAUGUAAAUUCUUGUGUGUUGUUUAUUAUUUCUUAAAGAAUUUAUAAAUAUACUUAUUUGCAGUUUUAAAUAUUAAUAUUUAAAGUAAUUUAGAUUUAAAUAAACUAAAAUAGAAUUAUAAAAAGGUGUGCCAGCAUAUGCGGUUAUACAUUCUAAUUCAAAUUAAUCUUUUUGAUUUAUAUUUAAAUUGUUCUAAUUAAGGUUUAAUUUAAUUUAUUAGGUGAAAUUUUUAAAUUGAGAUAUUCUUUUGGUUAAUUGAUAAUAUGAAAAUUAGUAUAUAAACUAGGAUUAGAUACCCUAUUAUUCUAAUUGUUAUUUUUAAUCUUGUGAUUAACAGUUUUGUUCUUUAAAUUAAAAGAGUUUGGCGGUAAUUUAAUCUUUUCAGAGGAACCUGUUUUGUAAUUGAUAAUCCACGUUGGAUUUUACUUUAAUUUUUAAUUUGUAUAUCUCUGUCAUUGAAUGUCUUAUAAGAGUAUUUUCUUAAAUUAAUAAUUUAAUUUAUGUCAAGUCAAGGUGCAGUUAUAUUAAAGGUUUUAAUGGGUUACAUUUAAUGUUAUUUAUUGGGAUGGUUAUUUUAAAAUAACUAUUAAAUAGGAUUUGAAAGUAAAAUUAAUUAUUUUAUUAAUUUGAUUUUGGCUCUAAAUUAUGUACACAUUGCCCGUCACUUUCACCUUUAAAGUGAGAUAAGUCGUAACAAAGUAAUUCUACUGGAAAGUGGAAUUUAAAUUCA